This 808-nucleotide unclassified non-coding RNA is filed under the name Hevea brasiliensis (rubber tree). Lineage: Eukaryota; Viridiplantae; Streptophyta; Magnoliopsida; Malpighiales; Euphorbiaceae. The record is from RNAcentral.
GGUCCAUGGACUCCUGAAGAAGAUCAGAUACUCAUCAAUUACAUUCAACAAUAUGGCCAUGGCAACUGGAGGGCACUUCCUAAACAUGCAGGUUUAUUGAGGUGUGGAAAGAGCUGCAGGCUCCGGUGGACAAAUUACCUGAGACCGGACAUUAAACGAGGAAAUUUCACCAGGGAAGAAGAGGAUACCAUCAUCAAAUUGCAUGAAAUGCUGGGGAAUAGAUGGUCAGCAAUUGCAACAAGAUUACCGGGACGGACAGACAACGAAAUAAAAAAUGUAUGGCACACCCACCUGAAGAAAAGAUUGAAGCAAAAUCCUGUUGGUAUCCCAGAAAUUAAAAGACGCUCAAUUGAUAUGAUCUCCAGAGUAGAUCAAGAAUCGAAGACAGAACCUGAGUUGGUAAAUUUAUCAAAUCUUGUAGGAUUUGAGUCGCGUGAGGGCAUAGAAUAUAGACCCAUCUCGCCACAGCAGUGCUCUUCCAGUGAAAUCUCGUCGGUGACCACAGGUGACGAUGCCAUUAAUAACAUGUCUUCCAUGAAGGUGGAGCCAUCGGAUGAUUUUCUUGAAAUGGAUGAAAAUUUCUGGUCAGAAGUAUUGUCAAGCGACAACUCAAGCUCGGAAAGUGAUAUUCUUGGGGCGGCACAAUUUCAAAUUCCAUUUUCUACACUAGGAAAUGCCAUGGAACCUGCAGUCCAAUAUGGCUAUAAUUCAAGCAUGUAUGAUAGCAUGGAAUUCUGGUAUAACCUUUUCACAAGAACUGGGGAAUCACUAGAAUUACCAGAAAUUUAAAUAAUAUGGUUGAAUUUUU